RNAcentral lists this unclassified non-coding RNA (367 nucleotides) under Hevea brasiliensis (rubber tree). Lineage: Eukaryota; Viridiplantae; Streptophyta; Magnoliopsida; Malpighiales; Euphorbiaceae. The record is from RNAcentral.
GGUUCGACAGCUCUCCUCUUCACGACAGAUCACUAUUCUCAAUGGAAACUCUGGGAAUAUUGGUAAUAUAUCAUCUCUCAUUAUUCCAGCUGCUACUCUAGGUGCUUUGGGAUAUGGAUACAUGUGGUGGAAGGGACUUUCAUUCUCGGACCUUAUGUAUGUUACAAAGCGCAAUAUGGCUAAUGCUGUCUCAAACUUAACUAAGCAUUUGGAACACGUGUCAGAGGCCCUUGCUGCAACUAAGAGGCAUUUGACACAGCGGAUUGAGAACUUGGAUGAUAAGAUGUUCAAGCAGAAUGAACUCUCGAAAUUGAUUAAAGAAGAUGUAGCAGGAGUUCAAAAAUCUCUUUCUGACAUCGACUUUGAC